RNAcentral lists this ribosomal RNA (440 nucleotides) under uncultured bacterium. RNAcentral's name for it is "partial 16S ribosomal RNA". It matches the Rfam family "Bacterial small subunit ribosomal RNA", at positions 338 to 795 of the family's 1533-position model. The record is from RNAcentral.
CCUACGGGCGGCUGCAGUGGGGGAUAUUGCACAAUGGGGGGAACCCUGAUGCAGCGACGCCGCGUGGGUGAAGGAGUGCUUCGGCAUGUAAAGCCCUAUCGGCAGGGAAGAAGCAAGACGGUACCUGACUAAGAAGCCCCGGCUAACUACGUGCCAGCAGCCGCGGUAAUACGUAGGGGGCGAGCGUUAUCCGGAUUCACUGGGUGUAAAGGGAGCGUAGGCGGAGGCACAAGUCAGCGGUAAAAUCGCGGGGCUCAACCCCGCUCCGCCGUUGAAACUGUGUCCCUUGAGUGCGCGAAGGGUAGGCGGAAUGCGUGGUGUAGCGGUGAAAUGCAUAGAUAUCACGCAGAACUCCGAUCGCGAAGGCAGCCUACCGGCGCGCAACUGACGCUCAUGCACGAAAGCGUGGGUAUCGAACAGGAUUAGAUACCCGGGUAGUC